GCUUGUCUCAAAGAUUAAGCCAUGCAUGUCUAAGUAUAAACGACUUUAUACUGUGAAACUGCGAAUGGCUCAUUAUAUCAGUUAUAGUUUAUUUGAUGGUCCUUGCUACUUGGAUAACCGUAGUAAUUCUAGAGCUAAUACAUGCAUUAAACCCCGACUUCUGGAAGGGGUGUAUUUAUUAGAUGGAAACCAAUGCGGGGUAACCCGGAAUAUGGUGAUUCAUAAUAACCGAACGAAUCGUAUGGCAUCAGCUGGCGAUGAAUCAUUCAAGUUUCUGACCUAUCAGCUUCCGACGGUAGGGUAUUGGCCUACCGUGGCAAUGACGGGUAACGGAGAAUUAGGGUUCGAUUCCGGAGAGGGAGCCUGAGAAACGGCUACCACAUCUAAGGAAGGCAGCAGG
This 400-nucleotide ribosomal RNA is filed under the name uncultured Chrysophyceae. RNAcentral describes it as "partial small subunit ribosomal RNA". It matches the Rfam family "Eukaryotic small subunit ribosomal RNA", at positions 30 to 432 of the family's 1831-position model. Lineage: Eukaryota; Chrysophyceae. The record is from RNAcentral.